Cygnus olor (mute swan) is the source of this 423-nucleotide long non-coding RNA. RefSeq lists it as uncharacterized. The transcript is spliced from 2 exons. Lineage: Eukaryota; Metazoa; Chordata; Aves; Anseriformes; Anatidae. The record is from RefSeq and is a predicted model, not a curated record.
AUCCAAGCUCAAAAGGAGUAGACAGCAUCACCCAUGCCACCUGGCAACACAAAAGGACAAAAUGACCACUGUGCUUGCAAGCAACCACCUGCCACACCACUCCUCUGGCCCAAACAGCCUCACCUCAGACCCUCAGAGGGAAGCACCUGAACGUCUUUCCCUUUGCUUCCGAUAAGGGAUGACCUCGCUGACAACACUCUCACCUUCCCUCACUGCUCCGUGACACGGGGAUUUCCCUGUCCAAGACUGCACUAGGCACCCGCAGAGACAAGAGAAAAGCACACCCUGAGGCACCUCACAACCACAGCGUACCUGCUGCAAUACCUCUCUUACCAGCUCCUUUACUUCAGCUGCUCACCAGCUCUAACAGAUUCUUCACUCACAGCUCCGCACCAAACUCUGCCCAGGCCACACAAAACACAC